CAGUCGUACCGGCGGAUAAUCAGCCUUUCGGGCGCGAUUCUGUGGGGCGUGAGGAGCUUAACCGCCUUCAUGUUUUGCUAUAUUCGUGCACAUUUUGGGUACUUGUCCCGUGUGGU
Molecule: ribosomal RNA, 116 nt
Filed under: Glomus sp. (unid)
Lineage: Eukaryota; Fungi; Glomeromycota; Glomeromycetes; Glomerales; Glomeraceae
Source: RNAcentral